UACGGAGGGUGCGAGCGUUGUCCGGAAUCACUGGGCGUAAAGGGCGCGUAGGCGGCUGGGGAAGUCGGCGGUGAAAGCCCGGAGCUCAACUCCGGGUCGGCCGUCGAGACUCCUCGGCUCGAGCUCACUAGAGGCAGAUGGAAUUCCGGGUGUAGCGGUGGAAUGCGUAGAGAUCCGGAAGAACACCGGUGGCGAAGGCGGUCUGCUGGGGUGAGGCUGACGCUGAGGAGCGAAAGCGUGGGGAGCGAACAGG
RNAcentral lists this ribosomal RNA (253 nucleotides) under uncultured bacterium. RNAcentral describes it as "partial 16S ribosomal RNA". It matches the Rfam family "Bacterial small subunit ribosomal RNA", at positions 524 to 776 of the family's 1533-position model. The record is from RNAcentral.